CUCUUGAAAUCCAGCCACUACGUACAGAAGCCCAAGCCAACCUCAGGGUGAGGCCACAUGGAGAAAGAGACCCUGAGGCAUCCUAUCACGCCUGCCAAGGUGCCAGAUGUGUCAGUAAAGCCAUUUCCAAUACUCCUGUCACAGACACCAUUUGACUGCUAUUGCACAAGAAACCCCAAACUAUACUAGCAGGACUAAGCAACUGCACCCCAGUCACCCACAGAAUCGUGGGAGAUAGUAAAAUGGUUCUUUGGCUACAGAGUUUUGAGAUGUUCAUUAUGUGGCAAUAGAUAAAGUACCGGAAGUCAGGAUCAAGGGCUGUUAACCACUCCCAGACCAUCUCCAGGGACAGGAAGCACCAAUCAUCACCCAACAAACAGCAUCCUCUUUUUGGAUUCUGGCCUGGCCUUGUAGCUUCCAAGUAGGGAGGCACCUGGCCCCUGAGGAUGUGAAGAUAAACCAAGAGACCCAGUCGAGGAGCUCCAGGUGCCUGAGAUGCAAGUAAGAAAAGUCUGAAGACAUGGAGGACCCCUGGCUCCUGGCUGACCACCUGAUCCCACCUGCACACAACCCCUACCGCUCCCCACAGUAUAGGAGUGAGGUCUCUGAUACCCACCUUCCUUACACUGUGCCUGCCUGGAGCCCUCAGCAGGCACAGCCAGCCGCUAGCAGAAGUGCCCCAACCUAACACUGACGUCCCCACCUCUAAUCAGAGGGAAUUCUCCACGUGCAGAGAACAAUGCUGUGACAGAUGCAGCAGACUUUAAAUCACAGGUCAGAACAUGCCUUUAAAAUUACUAGCGCAUGAGUUACCUAAUCAGACCGCAGCCUCCAUUGUCCCUGCUGCCCAGUUCCUCAGGGACAGGAUCUGAGCCCAGUUCAGCUCUGUGAUGAGGGGAGACCAGGGGAGCCACUGGGGCAGAUGGCAGUCGACAGAGACCAGGGACAGUGAGAACUGUUUACUGUGUGACCACAGGUCUCCAGAACACAGGCAUCAGCAGCUGGAAACAUCUCCACAUGCAAGUAUCACUGUGAUCUUAUAGGGAGGUCUUUUCUGUUUAUUCUAUUAAUGAUAACAUCCUUCCUUCUGGAACAGGCUCAUUAUUCUUGUUUUCAAUGAUACUGAAGAAGGAAAAGUAACUCACUCUUCAGAGAAACCAAAAACUGGAAUCCUUGCGUCCCUGGCAAGUAGCAACCAUGGUUGAAGGAGACUCCUUAGGCCUGUGUUCUGAGCUGGGGACCAAUGUGGAACUGCACCUCUCAGUGCUGAUGGGAGCCACUCUGCACUUGUGUCAGGAACUUUCCGACCCUUCUCCCCAAGUGACCCACUUAUCCAAUAUGAGUGAUUCAGGGCUCCUUAUUUUCUUCUUUGGACUCUCAGGCCAGUCUAGGGUUUGCACCAACAAGUGCUUUGUGAUGGUCAAUUUUAUGUGUCAACUUGACUGGGCCAUGGUGCCCAGAUAGAUGGUCAAACUUUGUUCUGGAUGUUUCUAUAAGGAUCUUUUAGAGUGAGAUCUAUAUUUAGAUUGGUGGACUUUGAGUAAAGUCGAUUGUUCUCCAAAACGACGUAAGUAGCCUUAUCCAAUCAGCUGAAGGCCUGAACAGAAGAAUGAUUUUCUUCGAGAAGAAGGAGUUGUGCAGCAGAUAGCCUGCGGACUUGAACUGCAACAUCGGCUCUUCUCUGGGUCUCCAGAGAUUGGACUUGGUAGCCUCUAUAAUCACAUGAAUCAGUUCCUUAAA
Molecule: long non-coding RNA, 1740 nt
Organism: Tupaia belangeri chinensis (Chinese tree shrew)
Lineage: Eukaryota; Metazoa; Chordata; Mammalia; Scandentia; Tupaiidae
Exons: 3
Source: RefSeq, a predicted model, not a curated record